UCGUGCUAAUUGCCGUUGGCAAUUUUGCUCCCGCUCCAUCGCUUCAUCCCAGGCUUCUUCCCGGGCGAUCACUGCGUCUCUCAAAGCUCGCAUAUCCUUCUCCAGCAACUCAAACUCCGAUCUAAUCGUGUUGAGGGUUACGAAUUAUAAACGAGAAUGGAAUCGCGAGAAUACAAUCGUGAAAGUUAGGUUAGGUUAAAAAGGAGUACUGAAGAGGCAAUAGAUGAUUGGAUUAGCAGCAGAAUUGAGCGAUGACAAACUUUGUAUGAAGGUAGCUACCGCGAUAUUCGUCUGAGUCUUUGGUACGUGUCCGUAUACUUGAAGGAGGUCGAAGACUAUGUAUGGACUCCAGCAGAGGAUAAAUACUAAAAUACAGAAUUGCUUACAUCGCGUGAGUACCGCAAUUAUAUUUUGUGCGCAUAAUAGCGCUAAUUAAUCGUAAUUCGUAGAAAUAUUAGAUAAAAUAUAUUAAGAUAAAAAUGUAUAGCGUUCAUUGUGAUCGCGUAUUUGAAAAAUUAAGAAAAUUAAAGAGAAAAAAAUCAUAAAUAAUUAGAACAGCAAUUUUAAAAUCAGCAUAAAUCAUUUGUGCAAAAAAUUGAUCUAAUAGAAUUCAACAAUGAUUGUCACUUUCAAUGUAUACGCUGUAAAUAAAACACAAUUAUUCGUCACUUUCAAUUAAGAGACCGUUUCUAUGUUAAAUUACAUGAGUAUUACGAAAUCCUAACGAAAAGCGAUAGCUCCAAGUUUGCACCAAUUCCAUUUUAGAUAACGAACCUAACGAACUUAAAAAUAACGAAACGCUCCAUUUGUCUCUUUGAGACAGAUUCUGAUUUAUAUGACAGCCUCCGUUUUAGAGAUAGCACGUACUCGCGAUUGUUCCUACUUUUUGUACCGAAGAAAAUCUUAUAAAACAAUAAAAUUUCAAAAAUAUUGGAGAGAAAAAA
Molecule: long non-coding RNA, 944 nt
Organism: Monomorium pharaonis (pharaoh ant)
Lineage: Eukaryota; Metazoa; Arthropoda; Insecta; Hymenoptera; Formicidae
Exons: 2
Source: RefSeq, a predicted model, not a curated record